RNAcentral lists this ribosomal RNA (253 nucleotides) under uncultured bacterium. RNAcentral describes it as "partial 16S ribosomal RNA". It matches the Rfam family "Bacterial small subunit ribosomal RNA", at positions 524 to 776 of the family's 1533-position model. The record is from RNAcentral.
UACGUAGGGGGCUAGCGUUGUCCGGAAUCAUUGGGCGUAAAGAGCGUGUAGGCGGCCCGGUAAGUCCGCUGUAAAAGUCAAAGGCUCAACCUUUGAAUGUCAGUGGAUACUGCCGGGCUAGAGUCCGGAAGAGGCGAGUGGAACUCCUGGUGUAGCGGUGGAAUGCGCAGAUAUCAGGAGGAACACCAAUGGCGAAGGCAGCUCACUGGGACGGUAUUGACGCUGAGACGCGAAAGCGUGGGGAGCAAACAGG